UACGUAGGGUCCGAGCGUUGUCCGGAAUUAUUGGGCGUAAAGGGCGCGUAGGCGGUGCGGUAAGUCACCUGUGAAAUCUCCUGGCUCAACUGGGAGCUUGCAGGCGAAACUGCCGUGCUGGAGUGUGGGAGAGGUGCGUGGAAUUCCUGGUGUAGCGGUGAAAUGCGUAGAUAUCAGGAGGAACACCUGUGGCGAAAGCGGCGCACUGGACCACAACUGACGCUGAGGCGCGAAAGCUAGAGGAGCAAACAGG
RNAcentral lists this ribosomal RNA (253 nucleotides) under uncultured bacterium. RNAcentral describes it as "partial 16S ribosomal RNA". It matches the Rfam family "Bacterial small subunit ribosomal RNA", at positions 524 to 776 of the family's 1533-position model. The record is from RNAcentral.